UAUUGAACGCAUAUUGCGGCCACGGGUCCGUCCUGUGGCCACGCCCGUCUGAGGGUCGGCGACGUUCUACCCAUCGCUGGGAGGCUCUUGCCCCAGCGCCUUGAGCUUUCGCAGGCUUUCGCAAAGUACUGCGUGGCUUGAAAUGCAGACUCGAAAUGUUUGUUUGUUUGCCUGGCUGCUUUUAGUUGCGUGGCGGACCUCAUGCGAGCAAAGGACAUGGCUCGGAUAAUGUCUGUCUUUGCUCUACGACCACCACCCAAAAUACGGUUAAGGCAUCCAUCCCAUUUCCGACCUCAGAUCGGACGAGAUUACCCGCUGAAUUUAAGCAUAUCAC
RNAcentral lists this ribosomal RNA (334 nucleotides) under Leiorhagium kavuneva. RNAcentral's name for it is "eukaryotic LSU rRNA". Lineage: Eukaryota; Metazoa; Mollusca; Gastropoda; Littorinimorpha; Tateidae. The record is from RNAcentral.